GAUGAACGCUGGCGGCGUGCCUAAUACAUGCAAGUCGAGCGAACAGACGAGGAGCUUGCUCCUUUGACGUUAGCGGCGGACGGGUGAGUAACACGUGGGUAACCUACCUAUAAGACUGGGAUAACUUCGGGAAACCGGAGCUAAUACCGGAUAAUAUUUCGAACCGCAUGGUUCGAUAGUGAAAGAUGGCUUUGCUAUCACUUAUAGAUGGACCUGCGCCGUAUUAGCUAGUUGGUAAGGUAACGGCUUACCAAGGCAACGAUACGUAGCCGACCUGAGAGGGGGAUCGGCCACACUGGAACUGAGACACGGUCCAGACUCCUACGGGAGGCAGCAGUAGGGAAUCUUCCGCAAUGGGCGAAAGCCUGACGGAGCAACGCCGCGUGAGUGAUGAAGGUCUUCGGAUCGUAAAACGCUGUUAUUAGGGAAGAACAAACGUGUAAGUAACGGUGCACGUCUUGACGGUACCUAAGCAGAAAGCCACGGCUAACUACGU
RNAcentral lists this ribosomal RNA (496 nucleotides) under uncultured bacterium. RNAcentral's name for it is "partial 16S ribosomal RNA". It matches the Rfam family "Bacterial small subunit ribosomal RNA", at positions 28 to 506 of the family's 1533-position model. The record is from RNAcentral.